ACGCUCGACACCUACGGGAGCAGCAGUGGGGAAUAUUGCNCAAUGGGGGGAACCCUGAUGCAGCGACGCCGCGUGAGGGAAGAAGGUUUUCGGAUUGUAAACCUCUGUCCUUGGUGACGAUAAUGACGGUAGCCAAGGAGGAGGCCACGGCUAACUACGUGCAGCAGCCGCGGUAAUCUGAGGCGGGCUGGCAAGGC
RNAcentral lists this ribosomal RNA (197 nucleotides) under uncultured bacterium. RNAcentral describes it as "partial 16S ribosomal RNA". It matches the Rfam family "Bacterial small subunit ribosomal RNA", at positions 328 to 539 of the family's 1533-position model. The record is from RNAcentral.